AUGGAUAAUAACAAGAAAAUUUGGAGAUCGAAGAUUCCACUGAAAGUUAAGAUCUUCAUGUGGUACCUUUAGAAGGGAGUGGUGCUAACCAAAGAUAACCUCGCUCGUCGCAACUGGCAUGGAAGCAAGAAGUGUGGCUUUUGUACUCAUGACGAGACAACCAGACACUUCUUUUUCCAGUGCAAGUUUGCAGGUUCUACAUGGUCAAUCAUCUAA
RNAcentral lists this ribosomal RNA (216 nucleotides) under Triticum aestivum (bread wheat). RNAcentral's name for it is "partial small subunit ribosomal RNA". Lineage: Eukaryota; Viridiplantae; Streptophyta; Magnoliopsida; Poales; Poaceae. The record is from RNAcentral.